GCCCCUGUAGCCCAACUGGAAGAGGCACCGCGUUCAGGCCGCGGCCAGUCCAGGUUCAAAUCCUGGUGGGGGCA
Molecule: transfer RNA, 74 nt
Filed under: Amycolatopsis sp. CA-230715
Lineage: Bacteria; Bacillati; Actinomycetota; Actinomycetes; Pseudonocardiales; Pseudonocardiaceae
Also listed under: 3 other names
Rfam family: tRNA
About the family: Transfer RNA (tRNA) molecules are approximately 80 nucleotides in length.
Source: Rfam by way of RNAcentral